Emys orbicularis (European pond turtle) is the source of this 263-nucleotide long non-coding RNA. RefSeq lists it as uncharacterized. NCBI's taxonomy places the organism in Eukaryota, Metazoa, Chordata, Testudines, Emydidae. The transcript is spliced from 3 exons. The record is from RefSeq and is a predicted model, not a curated record.
GAGUGCGGAGCUCAGGACGCCAUUAGGAGAAGAGCUGAGGACAGACAGGUCUGAGGAGCAGAGCAGGAGUUCUGGGAAGGAGAAGAGCAAUAUGAAGAUGGAGUCUAAGAUGACAUCAGGUGACUUCUGUGGAGGGAGACAUGCUGGACAGCGCCAAGGACUGGGGAGACAACCAGUAAGAACAAAGAGGUGUUCUUACACCUGGAAAAGACUAUAUAAGGCUGAUGCCCCAUCUCCAUCUUGUCUUCAAUCCUGCUUCAUAC